Bombus pascuorum is the source of this 4396-nucleotide long non-coding RNA. RefSeq lists it as uncharacterized. NCBI's taxonomy places the organism in Eukaryota, Metazoa, Arthropoda, Insecta, Hymenoptera, Apidae. The transcript has 2 exons. The record is from RefSeq and is a predicted model, not a curated record.
AGUUUUUUCCUUUCCAAUUGCCUUGAAAUAUAAUAUUCAUGGACACUUAGAGAUAAAACUAUCUGUGGAAAUUCAAUCACACUUUUAAUUAUCUCUUACGCCAGUUUCCGCUGAUGCCGUUAUCUAUCGCGUAUAUUUCCAUAACAAGAUCUUAUAAACGAUGUACAACGUACAUAAGUACUUGCCACUACCGCUCAAAAGCAUUGGGUCACUUCGGACGAUUUAAUUCAUAAUUUAUUUAUUAUUUAUUUAUUUAUUAUUUAAUGCGUCAAAAUAUCCAUAGCGUAGCUUUACAACAUGCACUUUUGUGAUUAAAGUACAUCCUAUGAAUAAUAAAGAUCAAGUAUCUGAAUACUUUUGAGCGAUAGUGUACACACGUACACCGUCAGCACGAGUUUACGCUACGUUUGAUCGUAAUUAAAGAUGAGAUUCAGCGACAGAGAGGAGCAAGAUAAAAAGAUGUGAAAGAAUGCCGUAACCUCGGUGUUAAUGAUACAAAAUACAAUGCGGGCACGGCAACGAAGAAUUUCAUAGUUGAGCGAACGUUUCGCGGUAACAGGAGUGCAUUAACCAUUAACAUACUUUACUAACAAACUUUUGAACUAUUUCACCGUGAAAUAACAUCUGUUCAGCCGUGUCACUGUCCUCGAGACGGCCGUUUUUUCGUCCGAACAUCUGGACGGUAGCGUUGAGUGACCUCUCGCGACUAUAGAUAAAGUAAUUUCUUUAAUUAAUGUGGGUCGCCUUGGACUUUUUCCGCGAUAUCGAGCCCAAGGCGCCUUUUUACCAUUCCCGCUGAUGUCCAGCGCGGUAUGAAACUUCGAUACGAAACAAGGUGACCAACACGCGGAGAGAAAAGACUUCAAUACGAGUAACGGUGUAGAGAAACGCUCUGGUGCCCGCCUAAGUUAUUCGUUAUAUGUAUGCGUACCAUACUGGUUGUUCAUCGUGCGGUCAGCCAGGCGUAUAAUCGUAGUACAGGUCAUGGUUAUUUCUUCGAGGUAGGUCAACCCAGCUUUCAGGAUUGCUCGAUUUCCGCGAUACGAUUGAUAAGCUGAUCGAUAAAAGGGUGUACCCUGUCAACUCUCUAGAUGUCUUAUUAAUAUGCUAAUUUAGCGAGUAUUUAUGCAAGAUCAUAUUUUUACGAAUACGAUUAAAAGUAUGGAAUCUUGGUAGAGAAUUGUUUUAUGUUGAAAUUUAUAGUUAUUUAUUAAUUAUUAUCCAGGAAGGGGAAAUUUCAGAUACACAAAUCUUUUAUGAACAAUGUAACUUAUCGAAUUACUUUUGUCUUUUAUAAUUACCAAAGAGUCAUUGAACUCACACUAGUAUUAACAUAAUUGAGGAAUAGGGAAAUAAUUUGCCGGUAGAAGGUAGAAGGUACAAUCAACAAUUUCAUUUACAUGAUCCAUCAUUAUUUAAUAUUCCGUUAUAGUAACAAGCAACAUUCAAUUAAUAGUAUUACGUAAUUUUAAUAAAAAUAUUUAAAACAUUUUGAUAAUUAGAUACUGAGUCUAGUAAUAUGAGAGGCAAAAGCUUAUUACCAAAGUACUUAAAAACUACUUAUUUCAAAUCAAAAUGACCUAUCGCUGAUGAAGGAUGUUGAUUGUUCGAUGAAUUUUUAUUGGUAAACUGAAUAUAUUCAAUGAUCAUAAAAGUUAAUGUAUCAAAAUCAAUGUUCAUACAGUAAACGCUUAAUGUGCGCGGUUUAUAUUCAUUAAAUACUGAAUAUAAUAAUCAUCAAUGGACUGCAAAAAUAUUAUAGAAAUUCACUCUUGUUUCCCGCUUUUAUUAAUCUUUGUAUUAAAUGCAAAAAGAUGAGUAUAAUUGAGGGCAGAUAUGAGCGAGGGUAAUUGAGUCAACGUACUUGAAGAGCGAUUAAUUUAAACAAAAUCUCAUCGGAUUUAACCGAAAUACAUCGAUUUACUGUGUCGUAUCAUUAAUUAUUUCAGGUUCACUGAUUUUUCAUCAAUAAUCUUGAAUGGACGACGAUAUGAAACGAGCGGAUUUACGAAAAAUUUGCGGCUAAAUUGGAAAAACGCGAUCCAAACGCAGUCGCGUAAUUAACGAUUUCAAGACGGGCUAAUAAAUUAUCUUGGAUCAUCUGUGUCAAUUGCAUGCAUAUUAAAUAGCAGGAUAUUAAAAUUACAUAGAAUUAUAAAUAAUUCAUAGAUUUUUCGCGUAGUUACCUUAAUUAGCAAUUAAGAUGUCACAUGGAUAUAAACACUACGGAGAUAAUCAAUUUUGAUGUUGUCACAGACAUUGUGUUUUUUAUCCAUUGGUUGGAAGAAACAAGAUACUGAACUUGUUGCGUAAGUGUUUUAACAUAAAAAAUUACUUAGUUUCAUUUAUCUAAACUGUUUUAUGAUACUCGAAAGAAAUAAAAACACGUCGAUAUCAGACUUAUCAUUAUAAUGUGAAAUAUAUUAUUUCUGUGUUCUGUAAGAUCUAGAAGCACAUUUAUAUUGAUGUAUGUGCCAACAUUAUAUCUAUCAUAUUAUUGAUAGCUUUCUUAUGUACUUAUAUAAACAAAGGAACUGGUAGGAUCUAUGUAGUUAGUUAACACACUAACAAUAUUAGUCAUUUAGCUUGUAACUGUCAUGUGCAAUGGAAUCUAAUGUUACUGAUUGGUGAAUCUUAUUCCAAUUAUACGAACGCUUACAAUUUUGCGUACGUUAGUAAGCAAAAGAAUGGGUAACAUACGUUCGAAUACAGUUAUUCGAACAUACCCUCCGGUUAUUUCAGUGACAAAUUAUAGAUAGUGAAGAAAAUCAGCGAUCUCCUGUUAUAAGAUGUCCAGUUAUCCAAAUCGUUUCCUCAGGUAUAAGUAGAAUUAAGUAAAAAUAAUGACAAGUAGGAUCCUACUGUCUACUACUCAUGUACAUAAUUCUACUUAAUAUAAUUCUACUACGAAAGUUUGAAACAUAUUGGGAUUCCAAAAGAAAUAAUGAUUUCCUCAAGUAGGUAAAUAUUUUAUACAUUAUAAUAUUUUAUAACAUUAAAACUGUAAUUAAUUAUACUUCAAAAUGGAGGUGAAAAUUAGGUAUAACGUUCUUAUAUCUCAGAAAAAUUAUACUCAAAAGUUUGUUUCGUUUAAGGAGUAAAAGAUAGUGCAAACUUCUGAGCAGACAAAAACGAAAAGAUCCGAUCGUUUAACGAAAUUUUAAAUCCAUGGCCGAAAGAAGUUACUAAUUUAGAAAUCGAUACAGUUAAAGAGUUAAUAAGCAUUGAGCCAUUACUUGGCCGAUAUGGCGUGCGUCGAAACUGUUAUUGUAACAGCACUUUAAUCGGACACGGGUGAAGCAAACGACGCUGAAACACAAAGUUUUCGAUGGAAUUGGAACGUCCGACGAUGAUUUCCGAAUCGUUAAACGGAAACUAUUCGCAUUAAAGAAGAAACCGACCGGUUGGAAGGGAAAAAUAAGCGGACCCCAGUUACUGCAUGGUCGUGACAGUCGAGGUAUGUUGUAGGUACCGUGUCGUUAAAUUAAAGGCAAAUUAACAGAGCAGUGGUGAAUAAUACACGCGUGGAAGAAUUUACGUAAAGUGUUACAUGCGCGUGUGCGCGGUACGCUCCGAUUCGAUUGAUGCGUGGAAGGUUAACGGGAAGAGACAAACAGCCGAAUCUGUUACGUGAAACGGGCUCUCGUGUGCGCCUGAUUCCCUCGAGAUUGUUUCCUAGAUAACUAUAUACACGUACAUUUGUUCGUUUUAUUCUUUUUUACGAAAGAACCGCACCCGUCUCUUUUAUGGCGCCGUAAAUUCCUUAUUUCUCACUGACGCUUUCGGCAGGAUGACAUGGAUUUGUCUCCGCAUAUGGGAUGCCAUACAAGUUAACAACUUCCUGAAUAGCCUAUUGAUGAAGAAAUCUUGAAUUCACUAACGAUCAAACGUUGAGAUUUUGGAAUGGUGUAAAUUAACGAAAUCUGAUGUGGAAAGAUUUUGGUAUACUGGUCUAUUUAUAUUUUAUACUCCUGCGAUUAAUUUAUUGUACGUCAUAAAUUAUAGUUUGUUAUAUUAUAUAUAAUGUAUUUUACACUGUUUUAACCCGAACUCUGAAUAUACAAAAUACGUGUUAAUAUAAAUAGACUGUCAUACUAAAAAUAUAUAUUCAAAGCGAUACGUGACUAAAUUAAAGAGAUAUUUCUAAUGUAACUCGAUAAAUUCUAUUUUUAUGUAUUCAAAUCGUUUGUAUGGACGUAAAUUUCAGAUUUCGAUUCAGUUAUCUGUGACUUCUAAACCAGUAAUUUAAAAGAACAGUCGGAAUUGAAAAAGUUUGAUAGAAUACAGCUCGCACCGAACGCGUUAAAAAGAUCCGAGUUAACAUUUCGACGUGAAACGCCUUCCAAGGAUUAUACCCGCGGUCUUCUUAUGCAAAUAAAAUUUUAUAUCUCCGCUA